Molecule: ribosomal RNA, 428 nt
Filed under: uncultured delta proteobacterium
Lineage: Bacteria; Deltaproteobacteria
Description: bacterial SSU rRNA
Rfam family: Bacterial small subunit ribosomal RNA
Source: RNAcentral
AACGCGAAGAACCUUACCUGGGUUUGACAUCCUCUGACAUCCGUAGAGAUACGGCUUCUGUAGCAAUACAGCAGAGUGACAGGUGCUGCAUGGCUGUCGUCAGCUCGUGUGGUGACAUGUUGGGUUAAGUCCCGCAACGAGCGCAACCCUUGUCUUUAGUUGCCAGCAUUCAGUUGGGCUCUCUAAAGAGACUGCCGUGGUUAACACGGAGGAAGGUGGGGAUGACGUCAAGUCCUCAUGGCCUUUAUAUCCAGGGCGACACACGUGAUACAAUGGACGGUACAGAGGGAAGCGAAACCGCGAGGUGGAGCCAAUCUCAAAAAGCCGUUCUCAGUUCGGAUUGGAGUCUGCAAUUCGACUCCAUGAAGUUGGAAUCGCUAGUAAUCGCGGAUCAGCACGCCGCGGUGAAUACGUUCCCGGGCCUUGUA